UACCAGCUCUCCGAGUGGUGUGGAUGUUUAUUGGGCCUAAAGCAUCCGUAGCUGGCUGGACAAGUCCCCUGUUAAAUCCACCGAUUUAAUCGUUGGUGUGCGGGGGAUACUGUUCGGCUAGGGGACGGGAGAGGCCGACGGUAUUUCCGGGGUAGGGGUGAAAUCCUAUAAUCCCGGGAAGACCACCAGUGGCGAAGGCUGUCGGCUAGAACGCGCCCGACGGUGAGGGAUGAAAGCUGGGGGAGCGAACCGGAUUAGAUACCCGGGUAGUCCCAGCUGUAAACGAUGCAGGCUAGGUGUUUGGGCGGCCACGUGCCGCUCUAGUGCCGCAAGGAAGCUGUUAAGCCUGCCGCCUGGGGAGUACGGCCGCAAGGCUGAAACUUAAAGGAAUUGGGCGGGGGAGCACCACAAGGGGUGAAGCUUGCGGUUU
Molecule: ribosomal RNA, 430 nt
Filed under: uncultured archaeon
Lineage: Archaea
Description: bacterial SSU rRNA
Rfam family: Archaeal small subunit ribosomal RNA
Source: RNAcentral